AGUGAACGCUGGCGGUAGGCCUAACACAUGCAAGUCGAACGGCAGCACAGUAAGAGCUUGCUCUUACGGGUGGCGAGUGGCGGACGGGUGAGGAAUACAUCGGAAUCUACUUUUUCGUGGGGGAUAACGUAGGGAAACUUACGCUAAUACCGCAUGCGACCUACGGGUGAAAGCAGGGGAUCUUCGGACCUUGCGCGAUUGAAUGAGCCGAUGUCGGAUUAGCUAGUUGGCGGGGUAAAGGCCCACCAAGGCGACGAUCCGUAGCUGGUCUGAGAGGAUGAUCAGCCACACUGGAACUGAGACACGGUCCAGACUCCUACGGGAGGCAGCAGUGGGGAAUAUUGGACAAUGGGCGCAAGCCUGAUCCAGCCAUACCGCGUGGGUGAAGAAGGCCUUCGGGUUGUAAAGCCCUUUUGUUGGGAAAGAAAAGCAGCAGGUUAAUACCCCGCUGUUCUGACGGUACCCAAGGAAUAAGCACCGGCUAACUUCGUG
Molecule: ribosomal RNA, 492 nt
Filed under: uncultured bacterium
Lineage: Bacteria
Description: partial 16S ribosomal RNA
Rfam family: Bacterial small subunit ribosomal RNA
Source: RNAcentral